RNAcentral lists this ribosomal RNA (253 nucleotides) under uncultured bacterium. RNAcentral's name for it is "partial 16S ribosomal RNA". It matches the Rfam family "Bacterial small subunit ribosomal RNA", at positions 524 to 776 of the family's 1533-position model. The record is from RNAcentral.
UACGUAGGGUGCAAGCGUUAAUCGGAAUUACUGGGCGUAAAGCGUGCGCAGGCGGUUUUGUAAGUCUGUCGUGAAAUCCCCGGGCUUAAUCUGGGAAUGGCGAUGGAGACUGCAAGGCUAGAGUUUGGCAGAGGGGGGUAGAAUUCCACGUGUAGCAGUGAAAUGCGUAGAGAUGUGGAGGAACACCGAUGGCGAAGGCAGCCCCCUGGGUCAAGACUGACGCUCAUGCACGAAAGCGUGGGGAGCAAACAGG